GAUGAAUGCUGGCGGCGUGCCUAACACAUGCAAGUCGAGCGGCAGCGAGGGGUGCUUGCACCCUGUCGGCGAGCGGCGAACGGCUGAGUAACGCGUAGGAAUUUUCCCUAAAGUGAGGAAUAACUUCCCGAAAGGGUAGCUAAUGCCGCAUAUGGUCUUCGGAUUAAAGGAUUUAUCCGCUUUGGGAGGAGAUUGCGUUGGUUUUGGUUGUUGGUAGGGUAAUGGCCUACCAAGCUGACGAUCCAUAGCUGGUCUGAGAGGAUGAUCAGCCAGACUGGAACUGAGACACGGUCCAGACUCCUACGGGAGGCAGCAAUGAGGAAUCGUCCACAAUGGGCGAAAGCCUGAUGGUGCAACGCCGCGUGAAGGAUGAAAGCCUUCGGGUUGUAAUCUGCUUUUAUGAGUGAAGAAUAUGACGGUAACUCGUGAAUAAGCACCGGCUAACUACGUG
RNAcentral lists this ribosomal RNA (451 nucleotides) under uncultured bacterium. RNAcentral's name for it is "partial 16S ribosomal RNA". It matches the Rfam family "Bacterial small subunit ribosomal RNA", at positions 28 to 507 of the family's 1533-position model. The record is from RNAcentral.